GGGGCCAUAGCUCAGUGGUAGAGCACUUGCCUUGUAUGCAUGAGGCCUUAGCCCUC
This 56-nucleotide transfer RNA is filed under the name Fukomys damarensis (Damara mole-rat). It matches the Rfam family "tRNA". Rfam says of the family: Transfer RNA (tRNA) molecules are approximately 80 nucleotides in length. Their secondary structure includes four short double-helical elements and three loops (D, anti-codon, and T loops). The record is from Rfam by way of RNAcentral. Lineage: Eukaryota; Metazoa; Chordata; Mammalia; Rodentia; Bathyergidae.